This 1434-nucleotide ribosomal RNA is filed under the name uncultured Bordetella sp. Its description in RNAcentral is "partial 16S-23S ribosomal RNA intergenic spacer". It matches the Rfam family "Bacterial small subunit ribosomal RNA". The record is from RNAcentral. Lineage: Bacteria; Pseudomonadati; Pseudomonadota; Betaproteobacteria; Burkholderiales; Alcaligenaceae.
AGUUCGAUCAUGGCUCAGAUUGAACGCUGGCGGGAUGCUUUACACAUGCAAGUCAGACAGCGGCACGGACUUCGGUCUGGUGGCGAGUGGCGAACGGGUGAGUAUGUAAUGGAACGUGCCUAGUAGCGGGGGAUAACUACGCGAAGGCGUAGCUAAUACCGCAUACGCCCAUGGGGAAAGCGGGGGACCUUCGGGCCUCGCACUAUUGAAACGGCCGAUAUCGGAUUAGCUAGUUGGUGGGGUAACGGCUCGCAAAGGCGACGAUCCGUAGCUGGUUUGAGAGGACGACCAGCCACACUGGGACUGAUUUUGGCCAGACUCCUACGGGAGGCAGCGGUGAAAUUUUUGGACGUGGGGGAAACCUGAUCCAGCCAUCCCGCGUGUGCGAUGAGGCCUUCAGGUUGUAAAAGCACUUUUGGCAGGAAAGAAACGGCACGGGAUGUACCGUGCAGCUGACCAACCUGCAGAAUAAGCACCGGCUAACUACGUGCCAGCAGCCGCGAUAUGCAGCAGGGUGCAAGCGCCGAAAAUCGGAAUUACUGGGCGUAAAGCGUGCGCAGGCGGUUCGGAAGAAAGAUGUGAAAUCAGGCUUAACUUUGGAGCUGCAUUUUUAACUACCGAGCUAGAGUGUGUCAGAGGGAGGUGGAAUUCCGCGUGUAGCAGUGAAACCGUGAGUGCUAGAGGAACACCGAUGGCGAGCAGCCUCUGGGAUGUACUGACGCUCAUGCACGAAAAGCGUGGGGGAACAAUUAGGAUUAGAUACCCUGGUAGUCCACGCCCUAAACGUGUCAACUAGCUGUUGGGGCCUUCGAGCCUUGAUAGCGCAACUAACGCGUGAAGUUGACCGCCUGGGGAGUACAUUAAGAUUAAAACUCAAAGGAAUUGACGGGGACCCGCACAAGCGGUGGAUGAUGUGGAUUAAUUCGAUGCAACAUGAAAACCUACCCUUGACAUGUCUGGAAUCCCGAAGAGAUUUGGGAGUGCUCGCAAAGAACCGGACACAGGUGCUGCAUGGCUGUCGUCAGCUCGUGUCGUGAGAUGUUGGGUUAAGUCCCGCAACGAGCGCAACCUUGUCAUUAGUUGCUACGGGCACUCUAAUGAGACUGCCGGUGACAAGCCGGAGGAAGGUGAGAUGACGUCAAGUCCUCAUGGCCCAUAUGGGUAGGGCUUCACGUACAAUGGUCGGGACAGAGGGUCGCCAACCCGCGAGAGGCCAAUCAGAAACGAUCGUAGUCCGGAUCGCAGUCUGCAACUCGACUGCAUAGUCGAAUCGCUAAAGUAAUCGCGGAUCAGCAUGUCGCGGUGAAUACGUUCCAGGUCUUGUACACACCGCCCGUCACACCAUGGGAGUGGGUUUGCCAAGUAGUUAGCUAACCAGCAGGAGGGCGAUUACCACGGUAGGAUUCAUGACUGGGAGUGAGUCGUAACAAUUAA